AAAUGAAUCUCAAAGAAAGAACCCUAGCUUUUCCUCUCUCUCAAACCUUUUUUUUUAAAAAAUCUUCUCCGAAAUUUUCUUCUUGAACCCUCUCCUUGUGUCCAAAAACCUCCAAAUAUAUACCUCACUCUCGAAUCUUCUUCUUUUUCACCAAGAAAACGCGUGGGACCACAAAACAAAUCCAAAAAUCCCUUCAAUGGACGAGAUAAGACAAAUGGAGGGAGUAGAUCGAGUGUAACUCGAUCCUACGCACCCCAUUUUUCUAUUCUGGCCUAAAAGAAACAAAUUCGGAAAAAGAAAAAUGAAGAGAAAAACAAGUGAAAAUAAUGAAGCUUGGUACUGAAUGUGUGAUGUGGAAGAAGGAGAGAAGAAAAGGGGGGACCAUGAAUGAGAUUGGGGUGGAGUUAUGGUGGGUUUGGGUGUUGUUGAAUGGCAGUGAAGCUUAGAGAUUGGGGGGGCUGGUUGGGAUCUCUUUAGGUUUAGAGUUGUGACAAAAAAAAUCUUUAUAUGGGGUAGGGAAUAAACAAGGGUCGUUGAAUUUAACUAGAUCAAGGGCUGAGAUUAAUCUAAGAGGGCUAAUGGGUUAUGGGCUGGAAGGCAUCGAGUCAGGCAAUUUGGGCUAUGGGGUGUUGGAAUUGAGUGGAAGAUCUGGAUUGGGCCUUAUGAAAUUCUUGUUGAACAAAAAACAAAAAGCAAAACGAAAAAAAUGAAAAUCCUACAAACAUAUUAAUUAAUCUUAGUUAAUUAAAUAUACUAUUAAAACUAUUAUUAUUAUUAUUAUUAUUAUUAUUAUUAUUAUUAUUAUUUAUAUUUUCAAACAUUAUAUUAAUAUAAAAUUUAGAAAGAGUAGAUUAAAAGUUAUGGUAAAGCUAAAUUAAUAUCACUAUUGAAGUGUUGAUGAUCUUAUACUAAAAUGAAAAAUAUAAUAAGAUGAGAAAUAUUAUAAAUAAAACUAUCCUUGUAUUUUUGACUUUAUAUUCUAAAAUUUAAAAUAAGAGUAUAUUAGAAUCUAAUUAGAAUAAUCCAAGUAAAUAUAUUAAAAUACUAAAGAUACUAAACUAACUUUAAAAGUGCGCGAGUCAAAAAUUAUGUGCUUACAGUUGCCCCUCUUUGCAUGAAAACUCGAAGAGUUUUUGAGCAAAGAAUUAAGUAAGCAACGUAAUUGAGUUCUGACCCGGCACUUAUUCAAAAGAAGAUAAAGAUGGAUAAAGAUUGCGACCGAGCCCUGGUAUCUGAGCUGCCUGCAUAUCCUUGGCUAUAAAGGAAUCAAGUCACGUGUAGUUCAGAAGUAAAAAGAGUGUAGAAGGAUACCGAGGUGGAGAGCCGAGUGAAGUGUCGUCGAGGUUCCGGUCCGCGGUUCCUGUCAUUACAUCAAAAAUAAAAGAAAAAUACAAGAUCAUAUCUACUUCUUGUCUUGAAUCUUCUUUGAAUUUCUACUUGAUCUUUCAACAUGAAACUGAAAAAUGGACCCUGUUCUUCAGGCGGGCUCCUGAUGCUUCUCUGACUUGAACUUGGAAAUUAAAAUUGACCCUGUUCUUCAGGCGGGUUCCUGAUGUCUCUUGAAUUUGAGAAUCGAAAGUAACUUUGAAAUGAAUUUCCUUAUUUUCCAGGUAGGUGCCUGAUUACCAAAACUUGAACUGUAUUCCCUUGUUCUCCAGGUGGGCGCCUGAUUGCAAAACUUGAAUUGUACUCCCUUGUUCUCUAGGUNNNNNNNNNNNNNNNNNNNNNNNNNNNNNNNNNNNNNNNNNNNNNNNNNNNNNNNNNNNNNNNNNNNNNNNNNNNNNNNNNNNNNNNNNNNNNNNNNNNNNNNNNNNNNNNNNNNNNNNNNNNNNNNNNNNNNNNNNNNNNNNNNNNNNNNNNNNNNNNNNNNNNNNNNNNNNNNNNNNNNNNNNNNNNNNNNNNNNNNNNNNNNNNNNNNNNNNNNNNNNNNNNNNNNNNNNNNNNNNNNNNNNNGGGUCCUGAAAAGCCGAGAAUGAACUUACCUGAGCCAUGCUCUCUUCUUGGAGGAUUCUAAACAGAAUUUUUUGCCCCUGAACCAUGCCUUCUUCAUGGGGGGUCCCUGUGGAUUAACAAAUUUUCUUGCCCCUGUUUGAGACAAAUAAAAUUUUGUUAGUUUGAAAACUUGGUGGUUAGUUUGUGGCAUCAUUGCUGAGUGUCUGCUUCUGCUACCGCCAUGCUUCAUUCUGAUUAGCUGCUUCUGGCUAGCAAGGAGUUGUUUGAGCUUUUGAUUGGAACUGGACCACAAAACCUCUAAAUGACCUGAAUCUCUUACACUCACUUGUUGCAUUGUGUUUUCAUUCUGAAAGUUGCUGAAUCACUGUAUUUUCUCAAAAUUCAAGAUUUAUUUGAUUGCCUGAACCUCAGUUAUCACCAUACUGCUUAUUCUAAAUCAUGUCAAUUGUGAUGUGCUUGGCCAAACACCGCUUUGUGCAAUUUAGAAGGUGGUAGUAGUCUUUGGAAUCCUUUCCUGCUUGUUCAACAAGGGCUAACUCGAAAGAGACUCAUAAAGAUAGACUCAAAGAGCAAAGUGAAAUGAUUUUGGCAAAAGGAACAAAAGAAAAUUUUGAACACAAAUGACUAUGUGAAGAAGAAGGGGAAAAAGAAGACUUAUCUGAGUGAAGCGGCUAGCUCCAAUGAUCAUGACAUGCAUUUAGGAUUGAUCAGCCUAAUCCAUCCAACCAAUCAUAUUUCCAGUUCAUGUCAUGUCUUCAUACUUCAAAAUCGGGCUUUUACUGAUCCAAUUUCUCUGUAAAGUCACGAGCCUCAUUCGACUUGUAGUGCCUACGUAUCCUUAAAAGGCUGCCUACGUAUCCUUAAAAGGAAUCCGGUCGAACGUAGUUCAAACAAAAGUUGUUUGUUUUUGUUGCUUUUAUUUCUUCCUUUUCAUUUUUUUUCUUCUUCUUUUUCUUCUCUUUUUUUUCCUUUUUUCUUUCUUUCUUCUUCUUUUUUUUCUUUUUCUUUUUCUUUUUUUUUCUUCAUUUUUUUUCAUCAUUUUUUUCAUUCUCUAAAUCUGUAACUGAUUUCAAAAGAGGGGUAUGAAAGAAAAUAAAUAAGGCUCAAAAGGGGUAACAAAGCAUGAAAGUGUUUGGGUUGCAGAACAAAAUGACUUCGUCAUUUCAACUUUGACCAUGCCAAGUACAAAAUACAAUUGAAGGUAAGCAAAGCAAUCAUACAUAGUACCUCUUAACUGCAUCAGUAUUGAUAGCCAUAUCUACAUAUUUGUCUUCUAUGUCUGUUAAAUACAAAGCGCCAUUGGGAAACACUCUUGUCACAAUGAAUGGCCCCUGCCAGUUUGGGGCGAACUUGCCUUUAGGUUCCACCUGAUGAGGAAGGAUGCGUUUCAAUACCAUCUGGCCCACUUCAAAUAUUCGAGGACACACCUUUUUGUUGUAUGCUCUUGCCAUUCUCUUAUGAUACAAUUGACUAUGGCAUACUGCAGCCAAUAUUUUCUUAUCAAUCAAACUCAACUGUUCAGUCGGGUUUUGACCCAGUCAUCAUCAUCAAUUUCAGCUUCUGCAACGAUCCGAAAGGAUGGAAUUUCAACUUCCGCAGGUACAACUGCCUCAGUUCUAUAUACCAUCAAAUAAGGAGUUGCUUUUGACCCACUCAUCAUCAUCAAUUUCAGCUUCUGCAACGUUUCGAAGGGAUGGAAUCUCAACUUCCACAGGUAUAACUGCCUCAGUUUCAUAUACCAGCAAAUAAGGAGUUGCACCUAGUAGUGUGAUAACCCAGUAAGGCAACUUUUCAUGCCAUUGCCUGAACCUUUCACCACCGUACGAAGUAUCUUCUUUAUGUUCUUGUUAGCAGCCUCAACAACUCUAUUUGCCUUGGGGCGAUACGUAGUGGAGUUUCGAUGCAUGAUCUUGAACUGCUGGCAUACCUCUUUCAUCAAAUGACUGUUGAGAUUAGCAGCAUUGUCUGUUAUGAUCACCUUGAGAAUUCCAAACCGACAAAUGAUAUUUGAAUGAUCAAAAUCCACCACUGCCUUCUUGGUCACGGACUUGAAAGUUACAGCUUCGACCCACUUGGUAAAGUAAUCAAUGGCCACCAGAAUAAACCUAUGCCUGUUUGACGCUACCGGCUCAAUUGGUCCAAUGACAUCCAUGCCCCAAGCAACAAAGGGCCAAGGUGCAGACAUUGUGUGUAACUCAAAUGGGGGAGAAUGAAUCAAAUCACCGUGUACCUAGCAUUCAUGACACUUGCGAACAAAACUGAUACAAUCCCGUUCCAUGGUGAGCCAAUAAUAACCUGCUCGAAGUAUCUUUUUUGCCAAGACUUACCCAUUCAUAUGCAGCCCGCAAACUCCAGAAUGUACUUCGGCCAUGAUAGUUGAAGCUUCUUUAGCAUCUAUGCACCUCAUCAGUCUUAAAUCUGGAGUCCUCUUGUACAAGAUUCCCCCACUUAAGAAAAAUCCACGAGCCAGACGUCGAAUGGUUCUCUUUUGAUCACCCGUGGCAUGUAGUGGAUAUACUCCCAACUUGAUGUAUUCCUUGAUAUCAUGGAACCAAGGUUCGCCAUCAAUUUCCUCUUCAACCAUAUUACAAUAAGCAUGUUGAUCAUGAACUUGGAUAUGCAUGGGUUGACAUAAGCCUUGUCCGGAUGAUGUAACAUUGACACUAGAGUAUCCAAGGCAUUGGCAAUCUCAUUAUGAACUCUGGGAAUAUGUCUCAAUUCUACCGACCUGAAUCAUUGAUAAAGAUCUUGCAGACACUAUCGGUACGAUAUGAGCUUCAAGUCUCGAGUCUCCCAUUCUCCUUGAAUCUGGUGAACCAACAAAUCUGAAUCUCCCAGAACCAGUAUUUCCUGGACGCCCAUGUCUAUAGCUAACCUCAAACCCAGAAUGCAUGCUUCGUACUCAGCCAUCUUAUUGGUGCAAUAAAAUUGAAGCUGGGCUAUUAUAGGGUAGUGUUGCCCUAUUUCAGAGAUGAGUACAGCCCCUAUUCCGACACCUUUCAUGUUAGCAGCUCCAUCAAAGAAGAGUUUCCAAUGUGGAUUUUCAUCAUGGUCCACCUCGUCAACAUGCAUCACUUCCUCAUCAGGAAAAUAAGUCUUUAGUGGCUCAUAUUCUUCAUCUAUCGGAUUCUCAGCCAAGUGGUCAGCCAAGGCUUAGGCUUUCAUCGCGGUCCGAGUCACAUAGAUGAUGUCAAACUCUGUAAGUAAAAUUUGCCACUUUGCAAGUCUUUCCAUGGGCGUAGGCUUUUGAAAGAUAUACUUUAGAGGAUCCAUGCGAGAAAUGAGGUAAGUAGUGUAGGACGACAGAUAAUGCUUCAACUUUUGUACCACCCAAGUUAGGGCGCAACAUGUCCUCUCAUGUAGAGUGUACUUAACCUCAUAGGGAGUGAACUUCUUACUGAGAUAAUAGAUUGUGCUCAUUCUUUCCCAUUGUCACACCUUCUUUUUCUAUCUCGGAAAGGGAUAUAAGGGAGUUUUUUCCAAUUAAAACGACAAUCGAAACGAGAUUAUUCUAUUUAAAAUCAGAGUCGUCACUUGGGAUAAUUUAUGGUAUCCCAAGUCAUCGGUUUCAAAUCCCGAAUCAAGGAAAAAUUGACUCUGUUUUACAGUCCGCGAACACAAAAUUCCGGGUAAGGAAUUCUGUUAACCCGGGAGAAGGUGUUAGGCAUUCUCGGGUUCCGUGGUUCUAGCACGGUCGCUCAACUAUUAUUUUUUGGCUCAAUUAUCCGAUUUUAAAACACCUGUAAACCUAUGUGAAUUUUUAACUAUAAAAUCGCUUUUAUUUAUUUAAAGAAUUCAUUCAAGGUUAUUUAAAACACAUCGCAAGCCACGCUAUAUGAAAUGGACCCGUAGUUCACGACACGUUCUAUUUAACCUUGUUGGAAAUUAAGACCGGGUCUCAUAAAAUGCACCCCCAAAUUUUGGUGGUUAAGCGUCAUAACUACAUCAUGGGAACCGUACCCGUAACAAUGAUAAUUAUUUAACUAACGCGCCUAAAGCUAACUACAAGAGUUUAGGGCAUAAUAGAUCAUUCAUCAUUGAAGGCCUUGGUCAUAUUCUAAUAUUAGCAAAAGGCCCUACGUUACUGCUUGAAAUUAAACAAAGCCUUCCAAAGCUUAUUCUAGUGGCCCAACAUUUAAUCCAAAGUCCACUCUUAAAUGACUACCACAGUAACCUAAAUGCUACAAAACUUCAGUCCAAAUUUCAACUAUCAAAUCUCAUGGCCCAAUUACUUUGGUAAUCUAGCCUAAAAUACCGAACCUCACUUCUUGUUUCUGCUCAUCUAAUUCAAACAUUAAUAAUCAAGCAAUGUAAUAGAAACACAGUCACCAAAUUUCAUAUUAUCUAAAAUCAAGCAUGAGAUGGAAAGAAAUAAGUGAAAUAGGACAAGAGUCGGACCUCAAACUGGACAGAAACAACUUCAAAAACUCGAUUAAGCAUGAAAUCCAAAACCAAGAACUUUACAGCAUAAGGUCGUGGACACAGAACUCGAAUAACAACUUGAAAUUAAUAGUAAACCUCCUGUCGGAACUUCGAGUGGCAACCUCACUUUGAUGGUGUUUCACGACAGCGUCUCGAUGGUGGAGUGCGACGGAAUUUUUGAUAGAGUUUUGGAUGGCUUCAAAGUGGUGGGUUUCAACGAGUGAAUAAGUUAUAGAGAGACAGUGAGGUAAAGGUUUAACAUAGUUUCAUGGCCGCAAUGGACUGGUAGAGUGGGGGGGGGGGGUUCUCUUGUGUGUUAUGGCUGAGCAGCGUCAAGGAUGGUCGCUGGUUACUGCUUGUUUUCCGGCGAGAUUGACGGUUGUUCUGCUGAUUUUUAGCUAGACUUAGUGGCGUGAGGGUGGCUGCUCAUUUGGUGGUCUUUUCAACUCGUUUUCCGGCGAGCUUAUCACUGUUUCUGCUGGAUUUUGGGCCAGUUAUGGUAGCGACAGAUGUGAGAGGGUGGAACGGUAGCAGUGUGUGUAUGUGUUAGUACUGGUGUCGCUGGGCUGCUAUGGAGGAGUUCCUUUUUAGAUUGUGUAUUUUGAAGAAGAAGAUAGCCUAGGGUUUUUGUCUAUGCCUUUCUAUGAAGAAGAAGAAGAAAGCUGAUGGGGUCUAUUUUUUGAGCUAUAUAACUGAUUUCUAUUGUUAGUUCCUUUAGGUUUUUUGUUUUGAGAAGAUGAAAAGCUUAGGUCCUUGUGUUUUUUCUUUUGUUGUCUCCAUAAUAAAAACGACUUAUGUGCUAAGUGUAGUCUAUAGGGUCUUUUUAUUUAUUUUGUCAAGAAGAGUCUAGAAGGUCUUCUAGGGUUAGCUUUAUGGGUAAUGGGUAUUGGGCUUGGAAUUAUGGGCCAAGAAAUUGGUUUAAUUGGCUACACGCAAAACUAAAUUAGUCCAAAAAAUUAAUUCUAGUCCCACUUUUUUUUUGUAUGUAAAAAUAAUAUAGAAAACGAGAUAAACUAUUAAAAAUACUACUAAAUAUUACUUAAGAAAAUAACUAUUAAAAUAACACUAACAGUUUAAAAACAAACCUAUUUUUGGUUUUUUUUUCACGGUUAAAAAUGACUACAAAAUAUUAAUGAAACUAUUUUUUGUAAUUUUUAUUUUCUUGUAAUAAAAUAAAGUAAAAGAGUCAAAAUUAGUUAAAAUAAAGAUAUUAGCCCUAAACUAAAUAUUUACAUGCUAAAAUAUAAAAAAUCUUGGGGAGGGUCAAAAAUCACAUGUCUACAGCUGCCCCUCUUUGACUGGAAAUACGAAGUAUUUUCAGACAAAGAACGACUAGACAGGUUUUUUGACCCGACCCUUAUUUAAGGAGACCAAAAACUAAGAGAAAGGAGAAUGUGACCGAGCCCUGAUAUCUGAGCUGCCUACAUAUCCUUGGCUAUAAAGGAAUCAGGCCACGUGUAG
RNAcentral lists this long non-coding RNA (7836 nucleotides) under Nicotiana tabacum (common tobacco). Its description in RNAcentral is "long non-coding RNA (NTAB_LNC004243)". The record is from RNAcentral. Lineage: Eukaryota; Viridiplantae; Streptophyta; Magnoliopsida; Solanales; Solanaceae.